GCUGAGCACGGCAGCAUGUGCCUGUGGACCCAGCUACUCGCACUGAGGUGGGAGGAUCACUUGAGCCCAGGAGUUCUGGGCUACAGUGCGCUAUGCCGAUCGGGUGGCCACACUAAGUUCGGCAUCAAUAUGGUGACCUCCUGGGAGGUCCAGGUUACCUAAGGAGGGGUGAACCAGCCCAGGUGGGAAACAGAGCAGGUCAAAACUCCUGUGCUGAUCAGUAGUGGGAUCGCGCCUGUGAAUAGCCACUGCACUUCAGCCUGGGCAACAUAGCGAGACCCCAUCUCU
RNAcentral lists this signal recognition particle RNA (288 nucleotides) under Saimiri boliviensis boliviensis (Bolivian squirrel monkey). Its description in RNAcentral is "Metazoan signal recognition particle RNA (ENSSBOG00000007255.1)". It matches the Rfam family "Metazoan signal recognition particle RNA". From Rfam's summary of the family: The signal recognition particle (SRP) is a universally conserved ribonucleoprotein. It is involved in the co-translational targeting of proteins to membranes. Lineage: Eukaryota; Metazoa; Chordata; Mammalia; Primates; Cebidae. The record is from RNAcentral.